This 253-nucleotide ribosomal RNA is filed under the name uncultured bacterium. RNAcentral's name for it is "partial 16S ribosomal RNA". It matches the Rfam family "Bacterial small subunit ribosomal RNA", at positions 524 to 776 of the family's 1533-position model. The record is from RNAcentral.
UACGUAGGUGGCGAGCGUUGUCCGGAAUUACUGGGCGUAAAGGGAGCGUAGGCGGUUUGAUAAGUGGGAUGUGAAAUCCCCGGGCUUAACCUGGGAAUUGCAUUCCAAACUGUAAGACUAGAGUGCGGGAGAGGAAAGUGGAAUUCCAAGUGUAGCGGUGAAAUGCGUAGAGAUUUGGAGGAACACCAGUGGCGAAGGCGACUUUCUGGACCGUAACUGACGCUGAGGCUCGAGAGCGUGGGGAGCAAACAGG